This 65-nucleotide transfer RNA is filed under the name Acanthephyra sp. RNAcentral describes it as "tRNA-Val". The record is from RNAcentral. Lineage: Eukaryota; Metazoa; Arthropoda; Malacostraca; Decapoda; Oplophoridae.
UAAGUUGUAGCUAAGUUAAGCACUUCACUUACGUUGGAGAGAUCACCGAAUUGGGUGCUACUUAA